ACUGGGGAAGAUGGGGGUGCAGGAGGAGAGGAGUAGGGGCCGAGGAGCACCUCGGCCGUCUGGAGUCUGGCGAGAGUGGUGAAGGUGGAGGGGCUAGCUCGGGCAGGUUGUUCGGGUCUGGGAGCCAGAAAGAGUAUAGAGGGAGCUCCCAGGCAUCUCAGAGACGGGUGACAUCGGCGGGUGGGACUGCCAGCCCGAGUUAGGGUUAAAGGAAGAAGGAGCCAGACAUUCAUCCCGGUUAAUUUUGGUUACAGGACGUGGUGGCUGGUCGGACAAGGGAAAGCUGCUGGUCAGGGUUCGACCCCCAGGCCUGGGUGGAGGAGUAGCUGGCAGCAGUGGGCAGGUGAGGGCUGCGUCUGCUGGGCAGGUGAGUCCGCUUCACCUUCCUGGACCUCGCUUCACUGGCUUCUGGAAGGAGGUUUAGGGAGCGAGGGCUAGCGAGGAGAAGUGGCACGCCUCCUGCAGAGCAGCAGGAUGAAGGCAGGAUAGUAAGCAAAGGUGACAUCUUCUCGGGGGGAGCCGAGACGAAGCAAAGCUGGGGGGGGUCAUAGGCCUUUCCCCGGGGGAAAGAGCAAAUCAAGAGAGCAGAAUGGGACAAAUACAAGGAUGCCAGCAGGGCCAAAGCUGCUGUCUUCGGUGACUGUGGGGACAGUAGUGGAGGCCACAGGGAUCCAGCACGUGUGGGAGCAUUCUAGGCCCAGGCAGACAUCACGGCGGGGUCACAGGACACAGAGGGGUCCCCAGCCACCACCACAUCCCACCCACUGUAAUUCACUUAGAAGCAGGUAUAGGAGCGGCUCUGGGAGGGCCUUCCAAGGCCUGUACCAGAGCCUUGAUGGCCGGAGAGCGGGAAAGAAGGGCAGUGCAGAAGGACGCCAUCGGGGAGGAGCAGUGGCCACAGGUGCCGGGUUCCGGAGAGAUUUCGCAGCAAGAAGGCUGUGGUGAGCCCAGCCUGUGGAUUCACAGUUCCCACGCAGCACUGCGGCCCAGGAGCUGACGCGGAGAGGGCCCACAGUGGUCUUGGUGACACUGUAUGCCCUAACCGCUCAGCCCCUGGGUCUGGCAUGACAGACAGAACAGCACCAGGGGAGUCAAGGGCACAAGGCAAGGCCAGACUAGGCGAGGCAGGCGAGGCGGAGUGAGUGAGUGUUCUCAGGAGGGAGGUUGGGUGCAGACAGGGUGAGGCUCAACAGCCGGCGGCGAGCCAGCGAGACACUGGCCUCCAGAGCCUGUGGCCACGGUGGGCCUUGCAGGUGAUGACGGAGCAUUGAUCGGUGCCUCUGCACUCGGACUGGAGACCAGGCCAAAUCUCCAGAAGGGCGGAUGUGCCUGCCAGCCUGAAGGCCAGAAUGCAGGAGAUACAAGUACGCUGAGAAGGAGUGAUAUGGUCCGGUGUGAUGGUGAGGCCAGAGGGACUGCUGUCUGGCCUUCCUGAACAUUCUGGGCUGGCGACGCGGAGACACUUCCACGAGGUCUGUUCCUUUGCUUUUCCAAAAGAGCUACCACUGCUGCUCUCUGGACCUCCUAGAAUCCUCAAAAUGAAAGAGAUGGUGCUACCCAGCUCAUGCCUGGGACUUGGAAUUGGGGACUUCUUUAAGUCCAUCUAGCUCUGGAUCAAAAAUAUGCUGCAUCCAGAACCACUUCUCCGCACACCUCAGGAAUUGGCUCUGGAAGGUAGAGCUAAAGGAGCAGGCCUCAGGAACACCAUGGAAGAGCAGACCCGCAGCACUCCCCACCCCGGCAACUCCAUCUUCAUGGCCAGCCCCUGCUGCAUUCGGGAGACC
Octodon degus (degu) is the source of this 1784-nucleotide long non-coding RNA. RefSeq lists it as uncharacterized. The transcript has 5 exons. The record is from RefSeq and is a predicted model, not a curated record. Lineage: Eukaryota; Metazoa; Chordata; Mammalia; Rodentia; Octodontidae.